GAUGAAGAACGCAGCGAAAUGCGAUACUUGGUGUGAAUUGCAGAAUCCCGUGAACCAUCGAGUCUUUGAACGCAAGUUGCGCCCGAAGCCACUAGGCCGAGGGCACGCCUGCCUGGGCGUCACACGCCGUUGCCCCCCCAUCUACUCCUUCGGGAUUGCGGGGGGGCGGAUGAUGGCCUCCCGUGCGCCUAGCCGCGCGGUUGGCAUAAAUACCAAGUCCUCGGCGACGCACGCCACGACAAUCGGUGGUUGCGAAACCUCGGUUGCCCGUCGUGUGCGUUCGUCGCACAUCGAGGGCUCGAAAAAAUGCUCGGCUCCGGCUGGGCUUUCAACGCGACCCCAGGUCAGGCGGGGUUACCCGCUGAAUUUAAGCAUAUCAAUAAGCGGAGGA
This 391-nucleotide unclassified non-coding RNA is filed under the name soil metagenome. RNAcentral describes it as "partial contains 5.8S ribosomal RNA, internal transcribed spacer 2, and large subunit ribosomal RNA". The stretch from base 1 to 122 matches the Rfam family "5.8S ribosomal RNA", at positions 35 to 154 of the family's 154-position model. The record is from RNAcentral.